GAACGCUAGCGGCAGGCUUAAUACAUGCAAGUCGUGGGGCAGCGCGGGUAGCAAUACCUGGCGGCGACCGGCAAACGGGUGCGGAACGCGUACGCAACCUUCCUUUAAGCGGGGAAUAGCCCAGGGAAACUUGGAUUAAUACCCCAUAAGAUUAUGGUGUGGCAUCACACAGUAAUUAAAGCUUCGGCACUUAAAGAUGGGCGUGCGGCUGAUUAGGUAGUUGGCGGGGUAACGGCCCACCAAGCCUACGAUCAGUAACUGGUGUGAGAGCACGACCAGUCACACGGGCACUGAGACACGGGCCCGACUCCUACGGGAGGCAGCAGUAAGGAAUAUUGGUCAAUGGACGCAAGUCUGAACCAGCCAUGCCGCGUGGAGGAUUAAGGCCCUCUGGGUUNUAAACUCCUUUAUCUGGAAGAAUCGGAAUUCUUUUCCGGUGACGUACAGAGAAUAGCACCGGCUAACUCCGUGCCAGCA
Molecule: ribosomal RNA, 477 nt
Filed under: uncultured bacterium
Lineage: Bacteria
Description: bacterial SSU rRNA
Rfam family: Bacterial small subunit ribosomal RNA
Source: RNAcentral